GUAUGGCUGUUCGCCAUUUAAAGUGGUACGCGAGCUGGGUUUAGAACGUCGUGAGACAGUUCGGUCCCUAUCUGCCGUGGGCGCUGGAGAACUGAGGGGGGCUGCUCCUAGUACGAGAGGACCGGAGUGGACGCAUCACUGGUGUUCGGGUUGUCAUGCCAAUGGCACUGCCCGGUAGCUAAAUGCGGAAGAGAUAAGUGCUGAAAGCAUCUAAGCACGAAACUUGCCCCGAGAUGAGUUCUCCCUGACCCUUUAAGGGUCCUGAAGGAACGUUGAAGACGACGACGUCGAUAGGCCGGGUGUGUAAGCGCAGCGAUGCGUUGAGCUAACCGGUACUAAUGAACCGUGAGGCUUAACCUU
This 360-nucleotide ribosomal RNA is filed under the name Escherichia coli. RNAcentral's name for it is "partial 23S ribosomal RNA". It matches the Rfam family "Bacterial large subunit ribosomal RNA", at positions 2571 to 2925 of the family's 2925-position model. Lineage: Bacteria; Pseudomonadati; Pseudomonadota; Gammaproteobacteria; Enterobacterales; Enterobacteriaceae. The record is from RNAcentral.